AGUGAACGCUGGCGGUAGGCCUAACACAUGCAAGUCGAACGGCAGCACAGGAGAGCUUGCCCUCUGGGUGGCGAGUGGCGGACGGGUGAGGAAUACAUCGGAAUCUACUCUGUCGUGGGGGAUAACGUAGGGAAACUUACGCUAAUACCGCAUACGACCUACGGGUGAAAGCAGGGGAUCUUCGGACCUUGCGCGAUUGAAUGAGCCGAUGUCGGAUUAGCUAGUUGGCGGGGUAAAGGCCCACCAAGGCGACGAUCCGUAGCUGGUCUGAGGGGGUGAUCAGCAACACUGGAGCUGAGACACGGUCCAGACUGCUACGGGAGGCAGCAGUGGGGAAUAUUGGACAAUGGGCGCAAGCCUGAUCCAGCCAUACCGAGUGGGUGAAGAAGGCCUUCGGGUUGUAAAGCCCUUUUGUUGGGAAAGAAAUCCAGCUGGCUAAUACCCGGUUGGGAUGACGGUACCCAAAGAAUAAGCACCGGCUAACUUCGUGCCAGCCGCCGCGGUAA
This 506-nucleotide ribosomal RNA is filed under the name uncultured bacterium. Its description in RNAcentral is "partial 16S ribosomal RNA". It matches the Rfam family "Bacterial small subunit ribosomal RNA", at positions 29 to 523 of the family's 1533-position model. The record is from RNAcentral.